This 924-nucleotide ribosomal RNA is filed under the name Staphylococcus aureus. RNAcentral describes it as "partial 23S ribosomal RNA". It matches the Rfam family "Bacterial large subunit ribosomal RNA", at positions 530 to 1461 of the family's 2925-position model. Lineage: Bacteria; Bacillati; Bacillota; Bacilli; Caryophanales; Staphylococcaceae. The record is from RNAcentral.
GAAGGGGAGUGAAAUAGAACCUGAAACCGUGUGCUUACAAGUAGUCAGAGCCCGUUAAUGGGUGAUGGCGUGCCUUUUGUAGAAUGAACCGGCGAGUUACGAUUUGAUGCAAGGUUAAGCAGUAAAUGUGGAGCCGUAGCGAAAGCGAGUCUGAAUAGGGCGUUUAGUAUUUGGUCGUAGACCCGAAACCAGGUGAUCUACCCUUGGUCAGGUUGAAGUUCAGGUAACACUGAAUGGAGGACCGAACCGACUUACGUUGAAAAGUGAGCGGAUGAACUGAGGGUAGCGGAGAAAUUCCAAUCGAACCUGGAGAUAGCUGGUUCUCUCCGAAAUAGCUUUAGGGCUAGCCUCAAGUGAUGAUUAUUGGAGGUAGAGCACUGUUUGGACGAGGGGCCCCUCUCGGGUUACCGAAUUCAGACAAACUCCGAAUGCCAAUUAAUUUAACUUGGGAGUCAGAACAUGGGUGAUAAGGUCCGUGUUCGAAAGGGAAACAGCCCAGACCACCAGCUAAGGUCCCAAAAUAUAUGUUAAGUGGAAAAGGAUGUGGCGUUGCCCAGACAACUAGGAUGUUGGCUUAGAAGCAGCCAUCAUUUAAAGAGUGCGUAAUAGCUCACUAGUCGAGUGACACUGCGCCGAAAAUGUACCGGGGCUAAACAUAUUACCGAAGCUGUGGAUUGUCCUUUGGACAAUGGUAGGAGAGCGUUCUAAGGGCGUUGAAGCAUGAUCGUAAGGACAUGUGGAGCGCUUAGAAGUGAGAAUGCCGGUGUGAGUAGCGAAAGACGGGUGAGAAUCCCGUCCACCGAUUGACUAAGGUUUCCAGAGGAAGGCUCGUCCGCUCUGGGUUAGUCGGGUCCUAAGCUGAGGCCGACAGGCGUAGGCGAUGGAUAACAGGUUGAUAUUCCUGUACCACCUAUAAUCGUUUUA